Spinacia oleracea (spinach) is the source of this 521-nucleotide long non-coding RNA. RefSeq lists it as uncharacterized. The transcript has 2 exons. The record is from RefSeq and is a predicted model, not a curated record. NCBI's taxonomy places the organism in Eukaryota, Viridiplantae, Streptophyta, Magnoliopsida, Caryophyllales, Amaranthaceae.
CUGUUUGAUGAGGAAAAAUUGGAGGAAGUAGUAGAUCAAGAAGGAGGUUCGUCGUUGCCGAAAUCGAAUCGAAGAAUUUGCGCUCGUCUACAAAUCUUCGCAAGAAUUUUUAGAGAUCACAUCUCGAAAUACAAAGAUGAUGCACCCAGAAUUAAAAUCGUGCAAAGAAUAAAUGCUGCAAGGAAAACAAAAGUAGGAGGAGAAGAAGAAAAUCCUGACAACAAUGGAAACCAAGAACGUGGUAGAGGAAGGACAUGACGUGUUGGUGGAAAAAAGAGACGUGGUCCACGUGGACGUGUCGAUUAGUAUUUUUUAGUUCAAAAAACAUUUGAGUUUAACAUGGUUUAUUUAAUAGAUGCAAAGAAUUAGAAUGUCGUAGCUAAAACAACUAACCAAGUAGUUAAUGUUUUCUUUAUUAUUGUUCAAGAGUUAUAAUUACUGUUACUUUUGAUAUAGUUACUCUUUUAUAUUUCAGUAAUUAUGUGAUAUAUAAUAGAAAAAAUUACUAUAUGACCUCUAAA